CUCUCGUUAAUCCCGAUAUCUAUACUUCAAACUAGAUACACUCGUCAUACUUUCAACUUUGAUUUUUCUUGAAUCCUCAUUUCCAUUUCUUCCAAUGUGACAUUAGUCUUAAACAUGAUGUCAACGUGAUUGUCCGAUUGAAAAAUGAUGCUUAUAUCACCCAUCGUAAUUGAUCCAUUAUAAAUACCUGUGCCAUAAAUUGAUUCAUCAUCUUUUCAAUUCAAAUUAUAAAAUGUUACAUUACUAGCAUUAGGAAUAAUACUAACACAAUAAUGAACUUUUAACAAUACAAACAUUUUUAAUUAUAGGAACAAUUUCAACAAUACAAAAAAAAAGACAUCUAACAUAACAUUAAAAUUCUAAAACGUUUAAUAACACUAAUAGUAUAACAAUUGCAUAAUACAAAAUACUUGCAUGAUAAAAAAUCUGUAAAUCUGAAAGCUUAACUUUAAGAGGUUUAGAAUUAUACUCUAAAAGGAAAAUUUUAAGGAUGAAGUAAAAAAAAUUAGGGUUCAAACAAAUAAGUUUAAGCUUUUAUUGUAAAAUUUAUAUUAACCUCAACUCCCAUGAAUUUUGAGGUUAAUAUCCAAUAAGUCAAAUUUAUAUAAGUGCAAGUACAAGGUUCUUAAAGGAAUAUCUGGUAAAUAAGAUUGAUUGGGGUCAUGUAACACCCAAAAUCUAGCCUAGACAUUAUGGACGAAUAUGGGACUGUUACGAUGAAGGGUUUUAAACACAUCCUUUAGGUUAAAACUUUACAUACUAUUUGUUACCAAAAAGGGUACAUGUUUCCAGAAAAGCUCUUUUUAUAUUCUUUAUUAAAACCGUUAUUGUUGUUCUUUAAUGUGAAUCAUAAAUUUGCAGUGAAAGUUGAAUAAAUCAUUAUAGAUAAAACCAAGUUUGUAUUUUUAGAAAAACUUUUGUUUGCGUAAAAUCGUGAUUUUGUCAAACAUCGCAGUAUAAAAUUUAAAAACGCAUCCAAAACCAAAACCAAAAGCAAACAGUCCAGAGAGUUUCAAAAUUUACAAACUCUCAAGAAAAACUAGAAUCUAAAAAUAAAACCAUUAAUUUAAAGACAGUUUUUGUACUAGUGGUUACCGUUGAGCCUUUGUCGCACUGACUCGCCUAUGUCUGAGGAUUACCUGAAUAGAACAGACAACAUAUGUGAGUUUUCAAAAAACUCAGUGUGUAACUUAACAGAGACACUCAUGCAUAUGGGAACAAAGUUUUCAUGUACAGAUUAGAUACAGAUACGGACACAAGUCCUUAAUAGAAACAGAUCAUGUCAGAAUCAGAUAAUCAGAAUAGAUAUGCAAAAUCCUACCUCCAUCCUCUACACACCAUAUCUGAACAUCCCAUCACAUAAUGUGGGGUAUAAAACACCCACCCAUCCCUACAUACCACAUAGUGUCUGUACGACACUUAGCAGAAUAGCAUGCAACCAUACUGCUAGAUAAUAGGCAAAAUGUCGCCUUACAGAACACUUUCUCCACAUAUACUAAACCCACCCCAAAUAGAGAUAAAGAAUACAAAUAACAGAUAUAACAGAAUCAACAUGUUUAGCAUGCUCAUAUACAAAUAUCAUACAUGUUUAUAUUGACAAUCAGACAUACAUAUCAAUUUUACUAACUCAAAUUAGUCUAUCAGAAUAAUAUAUCUCAUGCAUUAAGGGUUUGGUUAGCCCUUACCGACCCUAUAAAAGGCUCAUAGUCGAUUGGAACAACUCAAGUGACCCUAGGGAAAAUUUUAGAAUUUUGGGCCCACACACCCAAAUUGGCCCUGCCUGUGUGGCCCACAUGUCCUGGCCCAUGACCCACGUUCCCGUGUGGCCCACACGCCUAAAUUGACCUAGCUCGUGUGGCCCACACAACCAUACCCUUGCUCGUCACACGGCUGUGUGUCGUACACAACCAGCCACAUGACCGGGCACACGCCCAUGUAGCGUUGACAAGCCACUUUUUCGGCUUUCGUCGAACCUCAUUUUUUUUCCAUGUUUGCAUUACAGACUUGGUUUCUUUUUCGAAUCAGCCUAAAUGAUGAAAUUCCUAGUACCUAAAAUCAACAGAAUUCAAUGAAUUAAUCCCCAGGAACUCUUUCAAUUCGAAGGCAUACGACUUAGUACCCUAACAUGUCGAAACCCAACAACAAAACUAUGCUUAAUCGAUAGAAACACUUACCCUCAAGACAACAAUCCACACAAUCACUCCGCUGAAAGAGCACCCAUUGACGCACAAUUCUCACCUAGAUAUCAGUAAACACAAACCAAGAAAAAUUAAAAGGAAACCCUUCAACACCAUAAAAAAUACCCAACCAUUCAUCUAUUCCAUAAAGAAACUUAAGCCAACUAUGCACUUACCAAACAACAACCACCAAUCUUAAUGACAGAGAUGAGCAAAUAACACUUGAAUUUCGUCUGAAUUAGAAAAGUAAUAGGAACAGAAAGCAAAAAGAACAAGAAAGAACGUAUGAGAAACGAAAAAAAAUGAACGUGAAAGCGGUGACUGAUUUUUAGGGAAAAGGAUAAUGAUAAAAUUAAAUUAAAAAUAAAAUAAUUAAAUCACCUAUUUUCCCUCAACUCCCCACCAACAACCGAAUCCUACUAAAUCUGACCACUAACCACAUCCAACUACCUCUGACUUUUAACUCCACCCAAACUCUCUCAGGCACCCGGAGCAAAAAUAAUCACCAACUCUCACACAAGAAUUCAAACACAAUACCUCUAACAAGCUAAAUCCUUACCACUCGAACCAACAAGCUCAUUCUAAUGUAAGUUUACCAAAAAUAUAAUAUAAGCCUACCUAACAUGGAUAAGUAUAAAAAUAACAAAAAUUGCUAAAAGUGAAACUUGAACCUUAGACCUCAAACAUGACACUUAGCCACUGAAACAAAUACAUAUAUUUAUAUUAGAAUUCACAGAAACAAAGUUAAAAAAUUUAGGGCGUUACAGGUCAACUCAUUAUGUCAUAACUAAAGAGAAUCAAUUACUCACAAAUACGAAAAUGAUGGUAUCAAGGUCAAACUUGAUGCUAUUAUAUUUUUCUAAACAUCCAAGACACAAAUUUCAUAAAGAAUUUAAUUCCAAGAAAAAGACACAAAUUUCAUAAAGAAUUUAAUUCCAAGAAAAACACAUAUGGGUGUCGAGGUCUAUCUAGACUUAAUAAUAUAAUGAAUAAAAAUGGAAUUUAUAUAAUUUAAUGAUUAAAUACAAAAUUUUUAUUGUUAAGUCACUAGUAAAAAAUGCAUUACAUUUGUUUCAGAAAGUCAACUAAUGAUUAUGGAUGAAAUUUAAGGGGAAAAAUGAUAAAAAGAAAAUAAUAAUAGGGAAGUGAUUUUUUAUUUUAAAUAAAAUUUUUAUAUAAUCUUAUAUAUUUGUGUUAUUUUUAUAUGAAUUUAAUUUAAAAUAUCAUCAAUAAAUAUUAUUACGAGGUCAAUAAAAAAAUAUUUUUAAACGCGUGAAAUUAGGAAAAACAAAAGCACGAUCUUAAUUUGACAUUAAAAAGGGAGAUUAUAUUGUUGUUCACUAAAUACUAAAUUAUGAAUAAAUUUUCGUUUUGAUCAGUUAAUUAAAAAAGUUAUAAUUUGGUCAUUAAAAUUUUAAAAAUUAUUUUUUUGACACUCUUUUAAUUGGUAUAAUAACAAUUUUAGUCCUUAAUUUUUAUACUUUCUAUUAAUUUGACCUUAAUUAUAAAAAAUAAAAAAUGAAAAUAUUUUUUAAAAUUUAAAAAUUUCUAAAAGUAAAAAUAAAAGUAGAUAAAAAUUUCAAAAAUAGAUUAAGUGAAAGAAAAUGAGGAAAAUUAUUUUUAAACCAUUCAACUUUUCUCUUUGUAUUAUUUGUAUGGGAAUAUCCAAUACCUAUUCUUUAAAAAAUAUUAAAAAAAAAGCAAAAUUAAUGGUUGACUUUUUUUCACAUCUUCUGUUUUUUUUUUACAUAACACGGCUUUCUUAUUAUAAGAAAAGAAAAGAAUUUUGUUUUUACAAUUUUAGUUUAAAAAUAAUUUAAAUGAAUUAAAAUUUUGAUUUAAGUUUUUUAGCUAAAAAAAAACUGACAUUAGAGUUUGAAAAAAAGAAAAGCGCAUGUAAAAUCAGUUCUAGAUUUUCUUUAGUGCCAAUUUGAAUAUAUUACUAAUUUAGUUUUUAAAUAUUGAGAAAAUAUGUAAUGAUUUAACUGUUUUUUUGUUCAGUUAAAAUUGUUAUUGGAUUACAAUUUUCUUUAAUUCUCAUACAUAUUAGUUCUUCAAUAACAACAUUUUUGAAAUUUUUUUUUUAAAUUUUUAUAUAGAAUUUUCUAAUUUUAAUUAAUUUCAAGGUUUUUAUAAUUUUGAUAUAGGAAUAGGAUCAAAUUUAUAGAAAAUAUAAAAAUUGAGGACUAAAAAUACUAUUAUAUUGACUAAAAAGUGUCACACUUUUUUAAAAACUUUAGUAAUCAAAUUGAAAUUUUUUAAGUGACUAAAAUAAUGACUAAUAAAUUUACUAUAACCCUUAAAAAAGUUGACUAUUUUCUUGGCCCCCAAAAAAAGAAAAGAAAUCUAAAUUGAUAUACAUGAAAUUUCCAAUUUCAUAGACGAAUGAUGUUACCUUACGUAACACAGACGUCAAAGUUACUUCCACAAAUUGCAGUGCAAGAUGUUGAACUCCAAAUGUAUUUUGCGUACGUGGCACCACCUCCUUCAUUAUCAUCCCCAAUACGACAUUUGGCCAUGUUAAUAAAACCAC
Molecule: long non-coding RNA, 4710 nt
Filed under: Gossypium barbadense (sea-island cotton)
Lineage: Eukaryota; Viridiplantae; Streptophyta; Magnoliopsida; Malvales; Malvaceae
Description: long non-coding RNA (GBAR_LNC014385)
Source: RNAcentral